AGAGUUUGAUCCUGGCUCAGAUUGAACGCUGGCGGCAGGCCUAACACAUGCAAGUCGAGCGGUAGAGAGGUGCUUGCACCUCUUGAGAGCGGCGGACGGGUGAGUAAAGCCUAGGAAUCUGCCUGGUAGUGGGGGAUAACGCUCGGAAACGGACGCUAAUACCGCAUACGUCCUACGGGAGAAAGCAGGGGACCUUCGGGCCUUGCGCUAUCAGAUGAGCCUAGGUCGGAUUAGCUAGUUGGUGAGGUAAUGGCUCACCAAGGCGACGAUCCGUAACUGGUCUGAGAGGAUGAUCAGUCACACUGGAACUGAGACACGGUCCAGACUCCUACGGGAGGCAGCAGUGGGGAAUAUUGGACAAUGGGCGAAAGCCUGAUCCAGCCAUGCCGCGUGUGUGAAGAAGGUCUUCGGAUUGUAAAGCACUUUAAGUUGGGAGGAAGGGCAUUAACCUAAUACGUUAGUGUUUUGACGUUACCGACAGAAUAAGCACCGGCUAACUCUGUGCCAGCAGCCGCGGUAAUACAGAGGGUGCAAGCGUUAAUCGGAAUUACUGGGCGUAAAGCGCGCGUAGGUGGUUCGUUAAGUUGGAUGUGAAAUCCCCGGGCUCAACCUGGGAACUGCAUUCAAAACUGUCGAGCUAGAGUAUGGUAGAGGGUGGUGGAAUUUCCUGUGUAGCGGUGAAAUGCGUAGAUAUAGGAAGGAACACCAGUGGCGAAGGCGACCMCCUGGACUGAUACUGACACUGAGGUGCGAAACGUGGGAGCAACAGGAUAGAUACCCUGUAGUCCACGCCGUAAAGAUGUCAACUAGCCGUUGGGAGCCUUGAGCUCUUAGUGGCGCAGCUAACGCAUUAAGUUGACCGCCUGGGGAGUACGGCCGCAAGGUUAAAACUCAAAUGAAUUGACGGGGGCCCGCACAAGCGGUGGAGCAUGUGGUUUAAUUCGAAGCAACGCGAAGAACCUUACCAGGCCUUGACAUCCAAUGAACUUUCCAGAGAUGGAUUGGUGCCUUCGGGAACAUUGAGACAGGUGCUGCAUGGCUGUCGUCAGCUCGUG
Molecule: ribosomal RNA, 1055 nt
Filed under: uncultured Pseudomonas sp.
Lineage: Bacteria; Pseudomonadati; Pseudomonadota; Gammaproteobacteria; Pseudomonadales; Pseudomonadaceae
Description: bacterial SSU rRNA
Rfam family: Bacterial small subunit ribosomal RNA
Source: RNAcentral